RNAcentral lists this transfer RNA (62 nucleotides) under Colwellia psychrerythraea. It matches the Rfam family "tRNA", at positions 6 to 65 of the family's 71-position model. Rfam says of the family: Transfer RNA (tRNA) molecules are approximately 80 nucleotides in length. The record is from RNAcentral. Lineage: Bacteria; Pseudomonadati; Pseudomonadota; Gammaproteobacteria; Alteromonadales; Colwelliaceae. RNAcentral also lists the same sequence under 3 other names.
AAUAGCUCAGUUGGUAGAGCGAUGGACUGUUAAUCCAUGUGUCACUGGUUCGAGCCCAGUUU